Molecule: ribosomal RNA, 548 nt
Filed under: uncultured bacterium
Lineage: Bacteria
Description: bacterial SSU rRNA
Rfam family: Bacterial small subunit ribosomal RNA
Source: RNAcentral
UAGGGAAUCUUCCGCAAUGGGCGAAAGCCUGACGGAGCAACGCCGCGUGAGUGAUGAAGGUCUUCGGAUCGUAAAACUCUGUUAUUAGGGAAGAACAUAUGUGUAAGUAACUGUGCACAUCUUGACGGUACCUAAUCAGAAAGCCACGGCUAACUACGUGCCAGCAGCCGCGGUAAUACGUAGGUGGCAAGCGUUAUCCGGAAUUAUUGGGCGUAAAGCGCGCGUAGGCGGUUUUUUAAGUCUGAUGUGAAAGCCCACGGCUCAACCGUGGAGGGUCAUUGGAAACUGGAAAACUUGAGUGCAGAAGAGGAAAGUGGAAUUCCAUGUGUAGCGGUGAAAUGCGCAGAGAUAUGGAGGAACACCAGUGGCGAAGGCGACUUUCUGGUCUGUAACUGACGCUGAUGUGCGAAAGCGUGGGGAUCAAACAGGAUUAGAUACCCUGGUAGUCCACGCCGUAAACGAUGAGUGCUAAGUGUUGGUCUCAUAAGAGAUCAGUGCUGCAGCUAACGCAUUAAGCACUCCGCCUGGGGAGUACGACCGCAAGGUUG